Molecule: transfer RNA, 55 nt
Filed under: Rhizochromulina marina
Lineage: Eukaryota; Dictyochophyceae; Rhizochromulinales
Description: partial Selenocysteine transfer RNA
Source: RNAcentral
CGGUAUGGUGAAGUUCUGGGUCUUCAAGCCCGAUGAGGCGCAGCAGCUCACGCUG